UUACAGUAUUACUGCCGAAGACAGCAGGUGCCGUAUGGCGCAACGUAGAUCAACCUGCCGAGGAGAGUAUUAGUUUUAUGCUAAUUAUGCCCUUUGUCUUUGGAGACAGAGGGCUUUUCUUAUUUUU
This 127-nucleotide small RNA is filed under the name uncultured Anaerostipes sp. Its description in RNAcentral is "Ribosomal protein L10 leader". It matches the Rfam family "Ribosomal protein L10 leader". From Rfam's summary of the family: This family is a putative r-protein leader autoregulatory structure found in B. subtilis and other low-GC Gram-positive bacteria. Lineage: Bacteria; Bacillati; Bacillota; Clostridia; Lachnospirales; Lachnospiraceae. The record is from RNAcentral.